This 1064-nucleotide long non-coding RNA is filed under the name Homo sapiens (human). Its description in RNAcentral is "HSALNT0028129". The record is from RNAcentral. Lineage: Eukaryota; Metazoa; Chordata; Mammalia; Primates; Hominidae.
UCUUGAUGUGCACUCUCUCUUUGGUGAAAGGUGGAGAGAACAUUCUAGGCAUUACUUGAAGGCUUGAUAGAGCAUGCACGAUUUGUGCAAGAAAUUGAGAGCUGUUCCAUGUUCCACAAGGUCAAGUGAAGGCAAAGAGCAGACAUUGGAGGUAAAGCUGAAAAGCAGAGCCUCGUCUGCAAUGAUAAGACACUUGGACUUUAUCUUGGAGAUGACAAGGAGCUUCUGGUGGGAGUUCGCAAGGGUGGUCAUGAGGAAAAGCAGCAUUCUCCCUCCCAAACACCUGGGAUGCUCCCUUUCUCAAGCACUUCCACUGUCUGGGCUCAGGACCCUGUCUCAUCAGCUCGCUCCACAGUCAAAUGCCUUGUGAAUUUUCUUUGCCAAAUGAAUGUGCACAGAAGCCAAGGCAGCGUGGUUUACUCUAAAAAGAAUCCAUUUGGGGGCAGCCAUGUCCCUGCGGGGUCCCUGGCACCUGAAUAUAAACCUCUUUCUCUUUUGAAAAUAUUACUAAAUAUGUUAAUUUGGGAACAAAAUGCAGUCACCAUGUCCACCCACAAUGGGCAGUUAUGCAGAAGAUAGGAGGGUGGCAGAGAGGGGACUGCAAAGUGUGGGUGAAGAAACAUAAGAGAAGAGGAAGAGGGUAAUAAAAAGAGGAACAGAAGCUCAUUCUCCCUGGAGAGCAUCAGGGCAGGAUGCUGUGAUUAUUCUUAUUGCAAGGAAAUAUGAGCAGCUUGUCUUGAUUCGGCAAUCUCAGAAUGUCAACAUUUAUCCCCAAAUAGCCAAGUUUUCUGUCACCAACUCGGGAGGGGUAGCAGCCUUGAGUGCUUCUCCAUGGAUUCUUCAGCAACUGGCCAGCAAGAUUUAAAUGAAAUCUCAUGUGUUACAUUUACACCUACUCCCCCUUUUAAGUUGGAUUCUUUAUUACCACUGGUAUUUGGGGUGGCAUUUUAAUACCCAUGUCAAAAAGUUGAAAGCAAUUUGCACGGAGUUUGUUCUCCAAGGAUUCUCCCCUGUUCUUACCAGCCUGAGAAGAAGAAAAGUGCAACAUUACUUCUUCAUUUUUC